CUGCCAGGCAGGUGUUAGUUGUGUGAUCUCCGAUCGAUCAAAGGACCGAUUCCUCCAGUUCAUACGUGCCUUGAUCGGGCGUGCGCCUGCCGUUCACUGGUAGUGGCCCCCCUCUCACACAGCACAAUAUAUAUAAAGUCAAAGGGACACGCCGGGGCACACGGUCCAAAGAUCGCCGUCCCAUGGUGCCCCACAAAAUCCUAGACUCCGCUGAAGAGAGGGGAUAAGCCCACUGCACCAUCGCCGCCUCUACAACAUCUUCCCCGCCGUACUCCAACCUCCACAGCGGCGCCAUGGCAGGAAGUCCAAGUUGCAAAUAAACAAGCAAUCGAUGUCAAGGAGACAACGACUCCGGAAGGCCAUUGGUUCAGAGAAGAUUGCAGGAACCUACUCUAUCCGUCAUUGCAAACCUCCUGCCUGGACCAUUGUAAACCUCCUGCCUGGACUACACAUCUACAAUCUACGCCAGCACAUCUACAGUAAGCCUGCAACUACAUCAAGCAGGCAUGUUGUCUUCAGCUGCCCAUGAGGCAUCUACGUCUCUCAGGUCAGAUGAUUAAGAUCUUAUUAAUAAUGAUUAGCAUGUUCAUGUCACGAGGGGACAGAGAGCAAGAACCGACCAGGGGGUGCUUUGAAACAUUUCCAUCCCAGGGACAGGGAAGGGGCUAUAUGCAUAUACUCGGAUCGCGAUUAUUAAUUGCAAUCCAAAAUAGGGGCUAUAUGCAUAUAUUAAGAGGGUUAAAUACAAAUAUUUGUAAUAUCGAUCCGAUUCAGGGGGUUUUCUGGCCGGCGACAUGGCUCCCGGCGAGAUCGCGCCGCCUCCGGCGAGCCCUGCUGGCGGCAGCAAACUCCGCCGUAGUCAUCCAAUUUGCUCUGUUCGGCUGACUGUGGCUGGUGUUGAUUUGUUGUAAAAAAAAUACUGCUGGCUGGCUAAUGUUGAGAGAAAAACACUACUGGCUAGUUGGCUGACAAGCUAGUCGAACAAAGCGUAUGGUGAAAGGAAUCUGAUUGCAUUUCAAUUGCCAAAAUUGCUAGUACGAGCGUUGCAGUCAGAUAUAGAGUUCAGAUAGAGUUCAAAACAAUACCUGAUUGACUAAAGCAGUUCAGCUGGCCUUAGUAGUCAGAUAUAUGUAAAGAAAAAAAAGUGAUGUAACAGCCUACUCAGUGCCAACGAGUGCACGUUUCUCUUCAUAAUACAAACACACCAUGUAGAAUCUGCAUGUUCA
Molecule: long non-coding RNA, 1226 nt
Organism: Panicum virgatum (switchgrass)
Lineage: Eukaryota; Viridiplantae; Streptophyta; Magnoliopsida; Poales; Poaceae
Exons: 2
Source: RefSeq, a predicted model, not a curated record